RNAcentral lists this ribosomal RNA (631 nucleotides) under uncultured Hyphomicrobiales bacterium. RNAcentral describes it as "bacterial SSU rRNA". It matches the Rfam family "Bacterial small subunit ribosomal RNA", at positions 127 to 792 of the family's 1533-position model. Lineage: Bacteria; Pseudomonadati; Pseudomonadota; Alphaproteobacteria; Hyphomicrobiales. The record is from RNAcentral.
UACCUUGAGCUACGGGAUAACAGAGAGAAAUUUCUGCUAAUACCGUAUGUGGCCUUUGGGCGAAAGAUUUAUCGGCUUAAGAUGAGCCCGCGUUGGAUUAGCUGGUUGGUGGGGUAAAGGCCUACCAAGGCGACGAUCCAUAGCUGGUCUGAGAGGAUGAUCAGCCACACUGGGACUGAGAUACGGUCCAGACUCCUACGGGAGGCAGCAGUGGGGAAUAUUGGACAAUGGGCGAAAGCCUGAUCCAGCCAUGCCGCAUGAGUGAAGAAGGCCUUCGGGUUGUAAAGCUCUUUUAGUGAGGAAGAUAAUGACGGUACUCACAGAAGAAGUCCUGGCUAACUCCGUGCCAGCAGCCGCGGUAAUACGGAGAGGGCUAGCGUUAUUCGGAAUCAUUGGGCGUAAAGGGCGCGUAGGCGGGUUAGUAAGUUAAAAGUGAAAUCCCAAGGCUCAACCUUGGAACUGCUUUUAAAACUGCUAGUCUAGAGAUUGAAAGAGGAUAGAGGAAUUCCUAGUGUAGAGAUGAAAUUCGUAAAUAUUAGGAGGUACACCAGUGGCGAANGCGUCUAUCUGGUUCAAAUCUGACGCUGAGGCGCGAANGCGUGGGGAGCAAACAGGAUUAGAUACCCUGGNU